RNAcentral lists this ribosomal RNA (447 nucleotides) under uncultured bacterium. Its description in RNAcentral is "partial 16S ribosomal RNA". It matches the Rfam family "Bacterial small subunit ribosomal RNA", at positions 338 to 795 of the family's 1533-position model. The record is from RNAcentral.
CCUACGGGAGGCAGCAGUGGGGAAUUUUGCGCAAUGGGCGGAAGCCUGACGCAGCGACGCCGCGUGCGGGACGAAGGCCUUCGGGUCGUAAACCGCUUUCAGCAGGGACGAGGCCCUCACGGUGACGGUACCUGCAGAAGAAGCCCCGGCUAACUACGUGCCAGCAGCCGCGGUAAUACGUAGGGGGCGAGCGUUAUCCGGAUUCAUUGGGCGUAAAGCGCGCGUAGGCGGCCUGUUAGGUCGGGGGUCAAAUACCGGGGCUCAACCCCGGUCCGCCCCCGAUACCGGCAGGCUUGAGUCUGGUAGGGGAAGGCGGAAUUCCUGGUGUAGCGGUGAAAUGCGUAGAUAUCAGGAGGAACACCGGUGGCGAAGGCGGCCUGCUGGACUGCAACUGACGUUGAGGCCCGAAAGCGUGGGGAGCAAACAGGAUUAGAUACCCGGGUAGUC